ACCUCCCACCCGUGUUUACUGUACCUUAGUUGCUUCGGCGGGCCCGCCAUUCAUGGCCGCCGGGGGCUCUCAGCCCCGGGCCCGCGCCCGCCGGAGACACCACGAACUCUGUCUGAUCUAGUGAAGUCUGAGUUGAUUGUAUCGCAAUCAGUUAAAACUUUCAACAAUGGAUCUCUUGGUUCCGGCAUCGAUGAAGAACGCAGCGAAAUGCGAUAACUAGUGUGAAUUGCAGAAUUCCGUGAAUCAUCGAGUCUUUGAACGCACAUUGCGCCCCCUGGUAUUCCGGGGGGCAUGCCUGUCCGAGCGUCAUUGCUGCCCAUCAAGCACGGCUUGUGUGUUGGGUCGUCGUCCCCUCUCCGGGGGGGACGGGCCCCAAAGGCAGCGGCGGCACCGCGUCCGAUCCUCGAGCGUAUGGGGCUUUGUCACCCGCUCUGUAGGCCCGGCCGGCGCUUGCCGAACGCAAAUCAAUCUUUUUCCAGGUUGACCUCGGAUCAGGUAGGGAUACCCGCUGAACUUAAGCAUAUC
RNAcentral lists this ribosomal RNA (525 nucleotides) under Aspergillus flavus. RNAcentral describes it as "eukaryotic LSU rRNA". The stretch from base 156 to 309 matches the Rfam family "5.8S ribosomal RNA". The record is from RNAcentral. Lineage: Eukaryota; Fungi; Ascomycota; Eurotiomycetes; Eurotiales; Aspergillaceae.